GGUGAUGAUGGCAGAGAGGUCACACCCGUUCCCAUACCGAACACGGAAGUUAAGCUCUCUAGCGCCGAUGGUAGUUGGGACCUUGUCCCUGUGAGAGUAGGACGUUGCCAAGC
RNAcentral lists this ribosomal RNA (113 nucleotides) under Bacillus cereus. Lineage: Bacteria; Bacillati; Bacillota; Bacilli; Caryophanales; Bacillaceae. RNAcentral also lists the same sequence under 1 other name. The record is from RNAcentral.